This 417-nucleotide long non-coding RNA is filed under the name Elaeis guineensis (African oil palm). RNAcentral's name for it is "long non-coding RNA (EGUI_LNC063623)". The record is from RNAcentral. Lineage: Eukaryota; Viridiplantae; Streptophyta; Magnoliopsida; Arecales; Arecaceae.
CUUUGAUUCUUCUUGUAUUUCAAAUUGAAGCCAUCUCGAACGCAAUUAAUCUUAGGGGAGUUGAAUUUCAUGCCAAUCUGAAACUUGAUAGAAGCUUCUUUAUAUCAGAAAUUUUAUUGAAUCUAGGAUAAUGGUACCCUGAAUUCGAUAACCAGAGUCAUUGUCACCCUCCACAUAUCAUCUCUCUCAAUUCCUAGUUGUCAUCAUAGUCUAUUUCCUUACCAUCAUUCCUUUAUCUCCAAGCACAUUUUGAUCUAUAUUAAGCCUCGAAUGUCCCAUCCAAUUUCUCAAUUCUUGAUCAACCAGGUCCUUAUCAACAUUCUCCAAGAAGAAGUCAUCAUCUGACUCAUCAGACUUCCUCAACUCACUAAGAGAAAUAGAGGUAUCAAUUGUAUUGUCCAUGUUGUCACUGCCAUC